GGUGAAAUCUCUUCCUGGGACCAGGCACUGAUGGGACCCCAAAUUGCAGGAGGGUCCUGAGAAUUCCAGUCCUAGGGAGGAGGACCUUCAGGGAUCAAGUCCUUACUCGGGAUCCUGGACGCGAGAGCAGAAGACCAGAAUAGCCAAGAUGUGGACCUGAAAUGUCCGUGAAAGAUGAAUGGGUUAAAAAAAAAUGAGACACCUACACAAGCUCCUUGAAAAGGAAGGAAAUCCCGCCAUGGAUGGAAAUGGAGGACAUCAUGUUAAAUGAAAUAGUCCAGGCACAUGAGAAUCAAUUCCGCACAGUCCCACCUAUAUGUGGAAUCUGAACUCAAACUCAGGAACAGGAAGUUGAAGAGUCUGGAACCUGAACAGCUGACUCCUUUGACAACCCGGGACUCAGAUGCAGGUUUAAUUGGUACCACUCUGCUACCAGAAACCAAGGAAGUGAAACCAUGUGAGUAUCAUGGUGUUGUGGGAGAUGGGGACAGUGGGUCUGAGCUCCUUCCCUGCUGCCACAUGGGUACUGGCUGAUGCUCCCAGGCCCACUUUCCAGGCCCCUUCAGAUGGGCCCAUCCCAACCUGAGUUGAAUUAUGGCUGCUUCGAGGAAGUCAGGGAAUUAUCUCUUCACAGGUUCCUUCACUGAUUCACUUUGCAGGAAAGGUGAGCUCAGUGUUCUUGUUUCUCUGUGGUCAACUGAGUCUGUAGAGAUUUCUCUCACCCCUUCCACUCAUCCCUCUUUAUUAUUUUUGAGAUUCUAGAUGCAAAAUGCCCAAGAGAGCGCACAUCCCAUCUUCCUUUGCUUCCCCGCCCUGGGUGUCUCCAAAUCCUGAUAGCAAGAGCCACACCAGCCAGUUUAGCAUAAGAAAUUAAAUUAAUUCUCAUGCUCCAACUCCAGAUGUAAAUGCCUUUAUUAAUAAUUUAAAGCACAUUUAUUUAUGCAGUUUGAUAUUUUUCAGGUUCAAGGAAGCAAUUAAGUUUUGCUCAAGUUGCUGAUCAGCAGACAGCAUCACAAAAUGGCUCUUCUUCCCCUCUACUCUCCAGAGUUGCUGGGGAGACCCGGUGGCAGCUCCCUGCCUCACCUCCAGGGAGCGCUCUGCCUCCCUGAGAUACCUGCUCUUGAGGUGGAAGAGGGUCAGUGCAUCUGCUCCAGCCCCUCUGCAGAAAGGCCACCUUCUUUCUUUCUCAGAAUUGCCCUGGCUUAUUAAAUGAGAAGACCCGCAGAGGUUCCAGUCGCUGAAAGCUCUUCCCCACAACUUGUUCCUUGUCAGACUAUUAUCAUCAAAAAGUCACUUUCGACUGAGCUUGGGCGACUCUUCUGCCAGAAGACCCCAGGAAAGCUGGCUGCAGCAGCUCUGGAACCACAGCCCAGGGCCCCGUGCUGCAAGGCCCAUGCUAGACAAGGACAAGUCCAUUCCCAGGUCACCCUCUGCUUACCUGCACUUCCAGAGGAUGCCAGUCUGGCAUUGAGGGAGUUGGGCCUCAGGGAGUUGAUCCUGAGGUGAAAGUGAAGGACAAUUUCCAAACUGGGGGAGCACUGGCAACCAGCUCUCCCCAGGGGGGAAGAAAACCUGCCUGGUGAUAGCAUUUCCCAGUUCCUGUGGUCUAAAUAGCCCCACGAUGGCUGAUUUGGAGGCAACUUUUGGGAAGAGAAGCACAGUCUCAAGAGUGGACACGAUCAGUUCCAUCAGACCACCAACCCAAACUGACCAGGUGGCAAGGUGGUUAGCCACAGGCAGUGAACUGGCAGAAUGUGUACGCUCUCUGGUCAGGGAGGCGAUUCCUUAGGCUGAGCAUCCUGGGGAGGCUUCAAGGAACAAGUGGUUUUGGUUUGGGCACUGGGGAAGGCACAGGUUCCCUGGCAGAGCAGCGGAGGCAGGUUAUCCAGCUGGAGAGCAGCCCAGGCGAGCUCAUAAGUGCCCAUGCGCUUGAUGACCAGUGUUGGAGGCAAGAACACGGAGGCCCAAUUACAGAGGCCUUCCAAACUCUGCCAAGGAAGUUUGUCCUCUGUCCCAUCAGUGGUUGGGAGCCACGGACGCAUCUUAAGCAGACAACUGAUGUUAUGAGCUUUGUUUUACUUCUUUUGAAUCCUGACUUUGUCAUUUUUUUCUAAAAAUGAAUCGAGGAAUGCAUCAAACUACAGAGUCAUCUUUUCAACAGGUGAACAUCUUCCCAAUAUACCUUUCUAAGUAUGUACACGUUAGAUAGAGAUAGUAGAAAUAAAAAUUUUUAAAAAAUGGAAAUUAAAAAAAGGAAAACAGAGAAAGACCCAGGAAUUAGCUUCUGUUGAUGGUGUCAGGACUAUGUAUGAUGCUGUGACAGCAGGAACUAUGGCAGCCAUCUUGUGACCAUGAGGGAAGCUAAUGCAAGGCAGACUGAGGUAGGAGAGGAGAAAGAAGAAGAGAAACUAAGUUCUGGUGAUGUGUAGCUGCUGGCUUUGACAUAGAGGUCACCAUGUCACAACUCUGAUUUUCACACAUAUGCUUUUCCAAUCUACGUAGAUUGAAUUCUCAAUACACAAACUCAGUUGUAAUGAAGCAAGACAGUGUAAUAAUGGGGCAAAGGCUCAGGCUUUGGAGUCACACAGAGCAGUACUUGAAUCAUAGCUCUGUGGAGGGGAGUUUCUGGAUUCCCUGGGGCCUCAUUUUUUCCAUCUCUGCA
Molecule: long non-coding RNA, 2662 nt
Organism: Sciurus carolinensis (gray squirrel)
Lineage: Eukaryota; Metazoa; Chordata; Mammalia; Rodentia; Sciuridae
Exons: 5
Source: RefSeq, a predicted model, not a curated record